AUAAAAAAAGAACACGCCACAAAGGAAAAUACACUCUCCGUCUCUCCAACCUCAUCCCCCCUCUCUCUCUCUCUAGCCACAAUGAGAGUUGCAGAGGCUCCUCCCCAAAACCCUAACCAUAAUUCUUCACAACAAGAGCUUCCUCAAAACCCUAGCCCUAAUUCUCUAGAACCAGUUACCCCCAUUCCUCCAAGUCCUAGACCUGUCCCUGUCCCUCCCACUAAGCUCUCUAUCGAAUUCGACAGUGAGAACAAAGUAUUUGUGAACAAGAUCUCCACUAAGCUCUUUGAUGGGUUCGCAAAGCUCAAGUAUUCGUUUCAGAGGAACAAGAAUGGGGAUAUUCAGUACCCGCAAUUAGGGUUUGUGACCAAGUACUUGUCUGUUUUGUAUGAUCAUGAUGAGAGAAAUGCGGUGAUUUCUGGCUGUCUUGAUGUUGGUCCACGAGUGCAGAUCAAAGGAGUUCAUGAUGUCAGUGCACAACAAGGAGAGGCAAGGUUGAUUGCAACUCUAGCUGAUCCUUCUUAUAAACUUGAAUUGGUAUCUUCUGUCCCUUCAACUGGUCCGCCACGAGCAUCAUUGAAAUUCCCAUAUGGUGAAGUCCAAGUGGAAGAAAAGGAGGUCGAUGAAGAUAAGAGAGUGUUGUCUCUUGGUGGGAUCCUGAAAGGCAAUGUCCUUAAUGGUGUUUGCAGUGCACUACACAAGGAUGGAAACUGGAAUCUCAUAUAUGCUUACAAGGAUGAUGAACUGACAUUCAUUCCCAGUGUCGCAUUGCCGUCUAAUGUCUUCUCAUUUGCAUUCAAGCGGCGUUUUAGCCCUGUUGACAAGUUGAGCUACUUGUACAACUUUUACUCUAAUGACUGGAGUGCUGUAUACAAGCACAACUUUGGCGAUGACCUGAAGUUGAAGGUUGGUUAUGACUCUGAAGUGCGACUUGGAUGGGCUUCUUUUUGGGUCGGAAAAGAAAAUGCUGGGGCGAAGAAGGCCCCAAAUAAGUGCAAGCUUCAGCUUAUGCUUCAAGUUCCCCAAGAUAAUCCCAAAGCAAUCGAAUUCUUAUUCCGGUUGAAAAAACGGUGGGAUAUAUAAAAGAUCAUGUGGCCAUGAAGAUUUGUAGAGUUAUUCAUGUGAAAUAUGAGCAAUGAUUGGUUUUGUCUGCUUCUGGUGGCUUAUGCUCAUGGAUUUUUGCCAAGCGAGAAAACCCGACAACUUUGUGAUGAAGUUAAAGAAUACUGCAAGAAUGGUUACCAUAACAAAUUGCUGGAAAACCCAUUUCAGAGAUAGAGUCAGGCUUUUGAAGUUAGAAGCAGCACAAGCCUACUCUGUAUCACCUGAGCUAGCGAGGACUUGGGGUCGCAAUUCCAUAUGGUCUCGAGCUGGGGAAUGAGUCAUUGUUGAGUCUCGGGAAGAUUUUGUCUUAUUUUUUUACUGUUUUCAUGUUGCACGGAGCCAUAUGAUUCUUGAGUUCUAAUGAGAUUUUUUUUCUUUUUGCA
Molecule: RNA transcript, 1487 nt
Organism: Amborella trichopoda
Lineage: Eukaryota; Viridiplantae; Streptophyta; Magnoliopsida; Amborellales; Amborellaceae
Gene: OEP37
Gene name: chloroplast outer envelope protein 37
Source: RefSeq, a predicted model, not a curated record